GAAGACUCCAUUUUUCAGUUUUGGAAUAACGUUUGACUCUUCGUCUUAUUUGAAAAAAAAAUAUGAUUACUAUUUUUUAUUGUUAUUAGAUAAUAAAACAUAAAUCAUACUUUAUGCAUGACUAAUUAUUUUUAAUUUCAUAAAAUUUAAAUAGGUCAAAUGGUCAAACGUUGAACACAUAAACCUAU
RNAcentral lists this microRNA precursor (188 nucleotides) under Oryza nivara. RNAcentral describes it as "MIR812 microRNA precursor family". It matches the Rfam family "MIR812 microRNA precursor family". Lineage: Eukaryota; Viridiplantae; Streptophyta; Magnoliopsida; Poales; Poaceae. The record is from Rfam by way of RNAcentral.